CGGCACCGGACAGCGGCGCCGAGCCCGUCCCUGUCCCCGUCCUCCUCCUCCUGCUCUUCCUCCUCCUCCUGGCGGGGCUGGCUCCGGAGAGUCACUCCUCGGCGCUCCGCUCUUAUUUUGGCUUUUCUGUCUCCUGCAGUAUCCCAUUUUCCAGAUGAGCAAAGAAUAUGGAAGUCACCUCGUGGUUCUCCUGGCUGGAGAGUCCCUUCUUAUGCAAGAGUACUGGUUGUACUUCACCUUGCCCUGCCUCAGGCUCCUUUUUGUGUUUUGCUGACCCUAGGUGUGUAUGUGAACAUAUUCAUUCAGCCCCACCAUGCCCAUACAGACCUCCGGAGUUAUUGUAAGGAACACUCAUCUUCACCUCUCAGUCAAAACACCUUAGGGGUCUGUGACUUGCCAGCUGUCCUGGAUAAGUGUAAAACAGACAAUUUUGGAAGAAAUGAAGAAAUAUAACACCUGAGGGUAAUACAUCUUGCAACAGUCCUUCAGAAGUAAUGACCUGUAAAACAAACAAACUUCUGCCGAAAAGAUCAUUCAGUCAAAAUUCUGAUUGACCCUAAACAUUCUCUGGACAAGGGGUGUCAUACAAAGAGAGGACUGAAAUACAGCAAGGUGGAAGGUUUGGGCCAAUUGGACGGGAGUGCUUGCUUCUGCUUCUCUUGUCCAGAAUUUGCCUGGGUUUGCUUUUACUGGGAUCCUGAGUAAUAGAUGCUUUUAUUUCCUCAUACAGUGAAUAAUGGGAGCAAAUCGAACAAGGACUUUGAAUGUAGAACACAAAUUAUUGACUUAAAAAAAAAAAAAUCUGAACUAUUUCCAGUGACAGGACUAUUCCUAAUGCAUCAGCAGCACUUACACUUUAACCAAUGUUUACAAUCACUUCUAAUUCUAUAUUUCACUCUUUCAAGCUAAACGUGAGUCGCUUUGAUUUUCAGGGUGAUUUCAAAGUCUGUUAAAUUUCAUGAAGCAUCAAAAUACAUUGACAACACAUCCAAUUAUUUGGUGGCUCCCAGAGCACACUGCCAGGUAUUCAGUAAUACUGCUCACUUCACAGAAAAAUACCUUAGAAUCACUUUAAGGAUUUUUUUUCUUAACAUAUUGGUACCACUUUAAGUAUUUCUCUGAAAGUAAACUCCUGCCCCCUAUUGCCCUUAAUAGCACUAAUCGUAUUGGCACACACCUCAGAAGGAAUAAAAAUAUCAUAGCGAGUCCAGUUUGGAAAGGUUCAGAAUUAGUCUGAUAUCAUCUAUUUAAUUACGUCGCAAGUUUCAUGUCACCUACCUACAGAGCAGUCCUGGCCGGAGAUGACUGUAGAUUUCUUGUUAUAAAAGUGUUAAUCUGACCACUCACUUGUAACUCAGCUCAAAAGAAUUUUCAUGAUUAAGAAGUUUUUAGUGAAAAUUCUUACUUGUUAUCAAACCAUCAAGGUUUAACCCCUGUUGGUAGAAAAUUCUCGAUCACAGAAACAUGUUAUUUCAGAGAAUUUGUUUAUAGAGUAAGCCCAGAGCACUUAACAACAGAGGCAUAAAAAUUCAACAAUCAAAAUAUUCCAGUAGAAAACUUGUUCGUACAGCAGACGAUAAAUAACUCCUGGUGUCAUAUCUCUUCCCAAUGUGACUAAUAACUGAAAAGAUUUCAGCUUUUAGUUCAUUUGAAUUUUUUCCUUCCUUAGAGAAGAAAAUUAAUUAACUACAUUUGGAUCACAAUUAUCCUCCUUCAGAUUCUGGAACUGUGAUAAGUAGAUGACCUACGUCUCGUUCAUUCUCUUUAAAACUUAACUUUUGAUGUGGGAUGGGGGCAAUGAACCAUUUUUGCCGCUUUAUAGCUUUAAGGCUUUUCACAAAAUAAAAUUUAACUGACAAUAAAGGAA
Non-coding RNA from Anas platyrhynchos (mallard), 1867 nucleotides. The record is from RefSeq and is a predicted model, not a curated record. Lineage: Eukaryota; Metazoa; Chordata; Aves; Anseriformes; Anatidae.